This 433-nucleotide ribosomal RNA is filed under the name uncultured bacterium. Its description in RNAcentral is "partial 16S ribosomal RNA". It matches the Rfam family "Bacterial small subunit ribosomal RNA", at positions 29 to 507 of the family's 1533-position model. The record is from RNAcentral.
AACGAACGCUGGCGGCAUGCCUAACACAUGCAAGUCGAACGAGACCUUCGGGUCUAGUGGCGCACGGGUGCGUAACGCGUGGGAACCUGCCCUUAGGUUCGGAAUAACUCCCCGAAAGGGGUGCUAAUACCGGAUAAUAUCUUCGGACCCAAGAUUUAUCGCCUUUGGAUGGGCCGGCGUUGGAUUCCCUGGUUGGUAGGGUAAAAGCCUACCAAGGCGACGAUGCAUAGCUGGUCUGAGAGGAUGAUCAGCCACACUGGGAGUGAGACACGGCCCAGACUCCUACGGGAGGCAGCAGUGGGGAAUAUUGGACAAUGGGCGGAAGCCUGAUCCAGCAAUGCCGCGUGAGUGAUGAAGGCCUUAGGGUUGUAAAGCUCUUUUACCCGGGAUGAUAAUGACAGUACCGGGAGAAUAAGCUCCGGCUAACUCCGUG